AUUCCAGCUCCAAUAGCGUAUACUAAAGUUGUUGCGGUUAAAAAGCUCGUAGUUGGAUCUUGGAAUGUGUUCAAGCGGGUCAGCUUCUGGCUGUUCGCUGCUUGACGUGUUCUUCUAUUUGGUUUUGGUGCGGUGCGCUUAACUGCGUGUCGCUCCCGGCCGAAACGUUCACCUUGAAAAAAUUAGAGUGUUCAAAGCAGACCUGUUUGAGUCUGAAUAUUCGUGCAUGGAAUAAUGAAAUAUGAAUUCGGUUCUAUUUUGUUGGUUUUCGGAACUCGAGUUAAUGAUCAAGAGGGACAGACGGGGGCAUUCGUACUCUGCCGUUAGAGGUGAAAUUCUUGGAUCGGCGGAAGACGCGCAACUGCGAAAGCAUUUGCCAAGAAUGUUUUCAUUA
This 394-nucleotide ribosomal RNA is filed under the name Oikopleura sp. RNAcentral's name for it is "partial small subunit ribosomal RNA". It matches the Rfam family "Eukaryotic small subunit ribosomal RNA", at positions 582 to 975 of the family's 1831-position model. Lineage: Eukaryota; Metazoa; Chordata; Appendicularia; Copelata; Oikopleuridae. The record is from RNAcentral.